Molecule: non-coding RNA, 71 nt
Organism: Phrynosoma platyrhinos (Desert horned lizard)
Lineage: Eukaryota; Metazoa; Chordata; Lepidosauria; Squamata; Phrynosomatidae
Source: the annotation of a GenBank genome assembly
GCCAGCGUGGUGUAGUGGUUUGAUUGUUAGGCUAUGAUGCUGGAGAACAGGGUUUGAAUCCCUGCUUGGCC